RNAcentral lists this transfer RNA (73 nucleotides) under Dysgonamonadaceae bacterium. RNAcentral's name for it is "tRNA-Thr". It matches the Rfam family "tRNA". From Rfam's summary of the family: Transfer RNA (tRNA) molecules are approximately 80 nucleotides in length. The record is from RNAcentral. Lineage: Bacteria; Pseudomonadati; Bacteroidota; Bacteroidia; Bacteroidales; Dysgonomonadaceae.
GCCACUGUAGUUCAGUCGGUAGAGCAACGCAUUCGUAACGCGUAGGUCACGAGUUCGAGUCUCGUCAGUGGCU